RNAcentral lists this long non-coding RNA (1527 nucleotides) under Homo sapiens (human). Its description in RNAcentral is "long non-coding RNA NONHSAT217220.1". Lineage: Eukaryota; Metazoa; Chordata; Mammalia; Primates; Hominidae. The record is from RNAcentral.
UCCUUGAGCUGUGGUGGGCUCCACCCAGUUCGAGCUUCCCUGCUGCUUUGUUUACCUAAGCAAGCCUGGGCAAUGGCGGGCGCCCCUCCCCCAGCCUCGCUGCCGCCUUGCAGUUUGAUCUCAGACUGCUGUGCUAGCAAUCAGCGAGACUCCGUGGGCGUAGGACCCUCUGAACCACCUCAGAUGGAAAUGCAGAAAUCACCCGUCUUCUGCGUCGCUCACGCUGGGAGCUGUAGACCGGAGCUGUUCCUAUUCGGCCAUCUUGGCUCCUCCUGUCUGGCACUCCCUAGUGAGAUGAAGCCGGUACCUCAGAUGGAAAUGCGGAAAUCACCGUCUUCUGUGUCGCUCAGGCUGGGAGCUGUAGACCGGAGCUGUUCCUAUUCGGCCAUCUUGGCUCCUCUCCCUCUUUAAAGUGAUUGCUCACUGAUGCCUUAUCUAGUUCUCUUGGUGAGGUCAUGUUUUCCUGGAUGGUCUUGGUGUUUGUGGAUGUUCAUCAAUGUCAGGGCAUUGAGAAGUUAGAAUGUGAUUUUGAAGAAAGGAGGAAAGAUGUGAAAAGUGAUUGGUCAGCCACAUUCAUGGUGUUGAGAAAAGAAUUUGCUUUUCUGGAACAUAGCCUGUGAUAGCAGAACAACACCUGGCAAGAAACAGGUUAUGUUUGGCUGGAGAGUCAUUGGCACUAUCAAGAAAUAUUAAAGUGUAGAUUUGAGAGAGGAGGAGAAAGACCCAAGCAAAAUUGAAAACCAGGUGGGACCCAGACAGCAGCAAAGCAAUGGAAGCAUGUAUUUUGGUCAAUAUAGAGUUAAUACACAAUUUUGCCCCUCUUCUUCUGAUCAUGGGACUCAUAUUACCAGUCUUCACAUUUCCUUUAAAUUCAGGAAUCAGGAAGAAUUUCCAGAGUUUGCAGAUGGACACAUUUGCUGCUUCCAUUCUAAACAUAAGUUAGAAGAACCUUUCAACUGGAUUCCAACUUUAAUAUGUCACAAACAUAAAAAAGAAAGCUAUUUCCUGGACUUUUCUUCAUUAGAAAUUAAUAGAUUGUCAAUUGGCAUAGGGAAAAGAUAAUCAACAGAUGCCAACCCCAAGUUAACAGAAAUGCUAAAAUUAUAAGACAAAGACUUCAAAAUAGCUAUUUUAAUUUUGCCUAGUGAGGUAAAUGCAAACAUGCUCACUAUGAAUGAAAACAGGUAAUCUCAGCAGUCAUGUAAACUAUAAAAAUAAGCAAAUAUAAAUUUUAGAAUUAAAACACAAUAUCUAAAAAUAAAUUCACCUGAUAUUCUCAAUAGAAAAAAUGGUAAUGCAGAGAAAAAUGUAUGAAAAUAUGGCAAUUUGAAGAAGAGAGAAGAGAUCAAUAAAAUAAAUAAGUAUAUCCUUGGAGACCUGUGGAUGUUUUUUGAAAAGUGAAUCAUGUAAGUAAUUGAAGUCCCAGAAGAAAAGAAAAGAAGAGGAUGAGCAGAAAAAAAUUUCUGAAAAAAUGAUUUGGACACUCCAGGACUCUCAUUACCUUCCCCAAAUAUUUGGACAUAUGUG